Bombina bombina (fire-bellied toad) is the source of this 237-nucleotide long non-coding RNA. RefSeq lists it as uncharacterized. The record is from RefSeq and is a predicted model, not a curated record. NCBI's taxonomy places the organism in Eukaryota, Metazoa, Chordata, Amphibia, Anura, Bombinatoridae. The transcript is spliced from 3 exons.
CGCGCAUUAAUGUGCCUGGUACACAAGUGAUCUUGGUCCCACUGUAUUCAGUCCCUGCUGAUUUUGGUGUCUGCACUGUCUGGUCUCUGCAUCUUCACACCGGGCACCGCCUUAUUGGCAUUUAAGUAUUCCUGUACCCUGUGACAGAAGUGGCACAUUUACAGAAACAAGUCUAUAUUUUAUUGUCUGUGAAGGAAGUGCUUGCUUUUUGAGCAAUGAACACAGACUUUGUGAUAC